Molecule: non-coding RNA, 69 nt
Organism: Rattus norvegicus (Norway rat)
Lineage: Eukaryota; Metazoa; Chordata; Mammalia; Rodentia; Muridae
Source: Rfam
GGGGAUUUAGCUCAGCAGUAGAGCGCUUGCCUUGCAAACGCAAGGCCCUGGGUUCGGUCCCCAGCUCCG